Molecule: ribosomal RNA, 1127 nt
Filed under: Escherichia coli
Lineage: Bacteria; Pseudomonadati; Pseudomonadota; Gammaproteobacteria; Enterobacterales; Enterobacteriaceae
Description: partial 23S ribosomal RNA
Rfam family: Bacterial large subunit ribosomal RNA
Source: RNAcentral
AUGCACAUGCUGUGAGCUCGAUGAGUAGGGCGGGACACGUGGUAUCCUGUCUGAAUAUGGGGGGACCAUCCUCCAAGGCUAAAUACUCCUGACUGACCGAUAGUGAACCAGUACCGUGAGGGAAAGGCGAAAAGAACCCCGGCGAGGGGAGUGAAAAAGAACCUGAAACCGUGUACGUACAAGCAGUGGGAGCACGCUUAGGCGUGUGACUGCGUACCUUUUGUAUAAUGGGUCAGCGACUUAUAUUCUGUAGCAAGGUUAACCGAAUAGGGGAGCCGAAGGGAAACCGAGUCUUAACUGGGCGUUAAGUUGCAGGGUAUAGACCCGAAACCCGGUGAUCUAGCCAUGGGCAGGUUGAAGGUUGGGUAACACUAACUGGAGGACCGAACCGACUAAUGUUGAAAAAUUAGCGGAUGACUUGUGGCUGGGGGUGAAAGGCCAAUCAAACCGGGAGAUAGCUGGUUCUCCCCGAAAGCUAUUUAGGUAGCGCCUCGUGAAUUCAUCUCCGGGGGUAGAGCACUGUUUCGGCAAGGGGGUCAUCCCGACUUACCAACCCGAUGCAAACUGCGAAUACCGGAGAAUGUUAUCACGGGAGACACACGGCGGGUGCUAACGUCCGUCGUGAAGAGGGAAACAACCCAGACCGCCAGCUAAGGUCCCAAAGUCAUGGUUAAGUGGGAAACGAUGUGGGAAGGCCCAGACAGCCAGGAUGUUGGCUUAGAAGCAGCCAUCAUUUAAAGAAAGCGUAAUAGCUCACUGGUCGAGUCGGCCUGCGCGGAAGAUGUAACGGGGCUAAACCAUGCACCGAAGCUGCGGCAGCGACGCUGAUGCGUUGUUGGGUAGGGGAGCGUUCUGUAAGCCUGCGAAGGUGUGCUGUGAGGCAUGCUGGAGGUAUCAGAAGUGCGAAUGCUGACAUAAGUAACGAUAAAGCGGGUGAAAAGCCCGCUCGCCGGAAGACCAAGGGUUCCUGUCCAACGUUAAUCGGGGCAGGGUGAGUCGACCCCUAAGGCGAGGCCGAAAGGCGUAGUCGAUGGGAAACAGGUUAAUAUUCCUGUACUUGGUGUUACUGCGAAGGGGGGACGGAGAAGGCUAUGUUGGCCGGGCGACGGUUGUCCCGGUUUAAGCGU